UUCACGGCGCUACAUUGACGCUUUGGCGGGUAACGCGCUGACUGACGGUCUGCUCCGGCAUUGUUGAAUGAGAGACACUUUUUUUAACCAAAGGGUCUUUUUUCUGCACAUGACACGAGCGUGAGGCGUUCAGGUACUCAGUUUGAAUCAAGAUGUUUAACUUCCACAAGCCGAAGAUGUACCGGAGCAUCGACGGCUGUUGCAUCUGCCGAGCCAAGUCUUCCAGCUCCCGCUUCACAGACAGCAAACGCUACGAGAUGAACUUCAAGAGCUGCUUUGGGUUGGUUGAGGUGCGUUGCGGUGACAUCUGUAACGCCUGCGUCCUCCUGGUGAAGAGAUGGAAGAAGCUUCCUGCAGGAUCCAAGAAGAACUGGAAUCACGUGGUCGAUGCAAAAGCCGGGUCGAGCAUGAAGGCCACGCUGAGGACGAAGAAGAUCAAGAAGAAGCUGAGGCCCAAACAGAUCAGUCGAGUUCAGAGCGAGCUGAAGAGGAACAACUCGGAUGCUCACAGCACUACCUCCAGCGCUUCCCCUGCUCAGUCACCUAGCUACAGCAACCAAUCGGACGAAGGCUCUGAUACGGAGCUAUCUUCUGGCCCCGCCCCCUCACAGGCUUUCUCCUUCCUGGAUCUCACCUACUGGAAAAGGCAGAAGGUGUGCUGCGGCAUCGUCUACAAGGGCCGCUAUGGAGAGAUCAUCAUCGACCCUCACCUGUUCAAACCCUGCUGUCAGAGGAAGCCUGACCUGCAGCAGCAGAAGGAAGAGGAUGAGGAGGAGGAGGAGGAGGAAGGUGGGGAGAUGGAGCAAGAGGAGGAAGUAGAGGAGGUAGAAGAAGAGGAGGUGGGAGUGCAGGAAAAUGGACAGAAUGCAGAGAGCAUGUCACCGCCUUCUUUACCUUCACAUGAAGAAGAAGAAGAGGAGGUGGUGAAAGAGGAGCUGAGUGAGGAGGCACGAUGAUGGCAGCUCAGGGUCGGUAAAGUCUUCCCCAGUGGACAGAAAGUACAACAACACGCAACAACACACAAAACACGUCCAGUCUGCUGCUGCAGGAAAUGUAGUUAUCCAAAUGAUCUAAGCUUUUCAACAUGAAGAUGGACGAAAGAAGAAGUCUAAACGUCACUUAUCUUCACAUUUUUCAACAUUUAUUUGGCCUAGAGAUGAAUUCAGUAAUUUUGGGAAUAGUCUUCAGGCCCCUGGUGUUCAAAAGUUUAAUCUAGACAAGGUUAGAUAAUCCACUCUAUAUUUGCACUGCUUUUUAAAGUAAAGACGGUCAGCUCUGACUGACUUAGGGAUGCUUUAGAACGACUCAUAUUCUAGUUGUUUACACAGAAAUUUAAAUUCUGAUUAACUAAUGAGUCUAAAGGUAAGAAAAAACAUGGACAACAUUUAUCCAACGCCAUUUAUCCAUCCAGCUAAACUCAGGAUUGGCUACCACUAGCAGAUCUUGCACCGCCAGCAUGUUAGUGUCCUCGUGCCUGUGCUGGUUCCUCAUUGUUCUGGUGGAGUGGUUAUAUGUCAGUUUAACCAGACACAGCCUACAUACAACUUUAUCUCCAUUUACUAGAUCAACAUACUGACAAACCACGCUGUGCUACCAGAUGACAUCAUCACCUGUGCUCCUUUACAUCCAGGUAGUAGAGCUGCAGAGCGCUAUGGCAACUAGAGCUUCAGUGCCGAUUUGCAAUUUAGGGGGCGCCAAAAUCCACACAGACGACAGAUCCUCACAGCUGCUUUAAAUUAAAUAUUCAAUGAAAUAUUGAUGCUAUUCCUUUAUUUUUCACAACCUUAACAUCUACCUCAUCUACUUCAUGACUGAAGCACUCAAGCAGAAGGACUAAAAUAGUUUUUUUCUGAAGUAUCAUCGUCAAAGUUUUCUCACACCUUGUUUCUGAUUCGAUUCAAUCCAGUAGCUUUGAUUUGGUCGGAUUACUUUUGAACUCCGGGGCCUGGAUUAGUUGGGGAAGAACACAGUGCAGCAUCACUCCUGUAUCAGACUACAUUAGUUUUUUGUUUAGGUAGUAAAACACAGCAUCCCUCCUGCUGGGUCGCAGAUUAGCGCUGUCAGCAACAGAGUUAGCCCCAGCGUGUUUCAGAGGUCGUCUCAGCGUCCGGUUCAAACGUGGCUCAGCAGCCUCGUCUCUCACAGCCUCCUUGACCUCUGACCCCGUUUUAUUUCAAAGUUCACCCGAUGCAGCUAUAAACUUUGAGUACAUUAACUCUUGUGACGUUAUGCAGAGACAACUCGUGUCUCUGAUCAGGAAUCCCGAACCUGUCGGACUGUCUUUUUCUCUGAUGCUGCUCACACUGGUUUCUCGGACCGGUUCUGUCUUUCGGUGUCUUGGUUUGCGAUGAGAUUCUGUAUUUUUGUAAAUACUUUAUUUACCUGAAAUGCUGGACUAUUCAAUGCUGCAUGGAAACCUUGAGACCUCUGGAUUUAACCCUUUACUCUUAGGAUAGAGCCAUACGACGGACAGAUCUGCCUCCCUCCUCCUGACCCAAAAAGCUCGUCCUUAAAUGUUUCUCCACUUUAAUGCUUCUGCUUUAUUUUCUUGUUAAGGACAUACAUUGUUAAAUAGAUUGGCACGGCGGUCACAUUUUCAGCUUCUUCUAACCAGACAAGAAGCUUUUCAUCACAUUUGGACAGAUGAGUCCACAUUUGUUCAGAAAACGGUUUAAAUCCAACGUUUUCCAUCUUGUGUACGAGAUAACAAGCUAACGAAAUUUAGCCGACUAAACUGUAAGAUUCAACAGCCUUCAACUUUUGUCUUCCAUGUUUCAGAGUUCAACUCUGAAUCCUUCGGUAGCAUAACUUAAGCACUGCCUGGUCCCCUCAUUGUGCAACAGGAAAUACAGCGUGUUAGAUUUACAGUAAGAUAUGGGAACAAGAGCACAGGGAUGUCACGAUACCAGAAUUUCAAACUUUGAGUAAAAAUCUGAUAUUAUAGAUACCUGUGCUUCUUCAGACGACGUAUUUAAACAGAUCUUAUGAUCCGUUACACUGCUUUGUUUUCAUUAGCAGCGCUCUCUCUCUUUACUUUACUCAACCACCGCUCUAGUAGCAGCUUUAGGCUGAACAUAUGUUCGUGGAGUCGUCUCUUUCGUAAGUGGUACUUUUCAACACUAUUUGAUAAUGUUCGAAAGCACAGGGUAUUGAAAAGCAUGGAUGUUUGUUUAAGAUACCCAGUGUAUUUAAAAUAUAAGCUAUUUACAGCACAUAGUACUCACUAGUUUGAAUUGAGUGUCUAAUUAUGUCAUUUAAACGAUGAAGCCACUUAUUUCAAAGUUGCUGAAUUGGUCAUUUAAAUUCUGACAUAAGUGUAAAGGUAAGGAAACACUCAGAGCCAGGCAAAGUUGAGCACGAUUUAUGUAGGAUCACACAGUCUGCAGGUAAAAGAUGUUAGUUUGAUCUGCAGAGUGUGGCUACCACUAGCAGAGCAAGCACCACCAUGCCUGUGCUGGUUCCUCAUUGUUCUGGUGAAGUGGUUAUGUGUCAGUUUAACCAGACACAGCCUACAUACAACUUUAUAUCCAUUUACUAGAUCAACAUACUGACAAACCACACCCACUACCAGAUGACAUCAUCACCUGUGCUCCUUUACAUCCAGGUAGAAGAGCUGCAGAGUGUUAUGGGUCCAGGUGGUUAGGUAGAACACUUCAUUGUCAUUUUAGGCUGAGUACGAGUAUCAUUUCCUAAAUCACCAGCAGUACAUAUAUAUAUAAGUCGUGUGCAGAGAGAUGAGUUCAAGAGUCUCAAAGUUCCUCUGUUGCUCAUGCUGCUAAUGUUUCUGUUUAUCUAUAUAGAAUCAAAGAUCAUUAAAUAACAUCAUUUUACUCGAAAAGGAUGAUACAAGGUGUAAAAAAAAAAAGCACAAACAGAGGAAGGCAGGCACUGUCCACAUGCAGUUGAUAUUUAGAAACUUAGAAAUGAACCGUUAUAAGCUAAAAGAGAUCCUCAGGAAGGUCGUGGUAACAGCACGGAUUAAAACUCUGUUGCUGCUUCUCUCCAGCAGCUCUUUGUUUCCUGUAGAACGGGGCUUUGGAGCUUUUAAUAAAACAAGCCCUGAUUUUCUACGGAGCCUAUAGAGCUGUGAGGAUUUUAACCCUCAUUAUAAAUAUGUGUACAUAUUUUGUAGUUUGAAGCUUGUAGACGAAUGUUUGAACUCCUGCAGCUUUUCGCAGAACUCACUGGACUCCUAGCGUAGAGUAUUUUGCAUGAGCUUCCCACACCUGACGCUUUUGGGGCUGCGUUGCCUUGUUGAUGUGAUGUUGUACAGCUUUAAUAUAUAUUUUUGUAAAUAAAUUAAUAAACGUUAAGGAGCAGCCGUCCAUUGAGACCUGAUGUCCUCUGAUUAAACCCUGUCACGACAUUUACGUUGAUUCUUACAGAGUACAUGGUCGAUCUUCUUCAGGACGCACCACAAACAUUCAACUCUUUGUUUUUGUUUUUGUCUGAAAAUGUGUGUCUGUUUAUUUAGAAUCAAAGACAGUGUCACAACUUUUUCAAACUCUGCAGUAUUUCUUUCCAAAAAUCGCGAAUGCCGAUGUGUGACUGUCAGAUAACUCAUUGUUAACUUUAAUGCAUGACGCUCUUCUUCUCUUUGGGUUUAUUCUUUGGAGAACAGUUACGUAUUUAGGUUGAUCAACUUUGAAGCUGUGUCUCUGAUGUUGUUUCAUUUUUCCUUUUUGAUAUAACAGUUGUUGCAUAUAAAGGGUGAAUUGGUCCACAUGUGUAUUUAUUAACUUAAACAUCUUAUUUUGUUUUCACUUUCCUGAAUUAUCGACUGUUUGUAGACAUAAACACUUUUCAGGAUGUCUGUACUACGCUGCCAAUAGACUGAACACAAUUAAAAUGAUUGUAUUAAAGCGUUGAAGAGGGGGUGUCAUGCUCAUCUUCAGUCUUUAUAUCGUCCUUCUGAUCGCUCUGUUGCAGCUUCACAUGAUUUACAGCUCAAACACUCUUUACUGUUGUCUUUGAAACACAUCAAUCCAACUACUGUCUCUUUAAGAGGCAUCAAAGCACUACGGAACCCAUGCAUUCUAGAACCAAUGCUUUCUAGAACCCAGCAUUCCAGAACUCAGUAUUCUACAACCCAGCAUUCUAGAAGCUGAUAUUCUAGAACUCAGCAUUCUAGAACCCAGCAUUCUAGAAGCCGAUAUUCUAGAACUCAGCAUUGUAGAACCCCUGCAUUCUAGAAGCCGGUAUUCUAGAAGCCGAUAUUCUAGAACUCAGCAUUCUAGAACCCCUGCAUUAUAUAACCCAGCAAUCUAGAAGCCGGCAUUCUAGAACUCGGCAUUCUAGAACCCAGCAAUCUAGAAGCCGACAUUCUAGAAGCCAAUAUUCUAGGACUUGGUAUUCUAGAACCCAAGAAUUCUAGAACCCAGCAAUCUAGAAGCUGAUAUUCUAGAACUCAGCAUUCUAGAACCCCUGCAUUCUAGAACCCAGCAUUCCAGUAGCCGGCUCCUGUUGCCAUGCCUCAAAGUUCUGUUUCUGUUAAAAACGACACAUUGACGCCCCUUAAGGAGAUUCACUUAAUGUCACAAGCUAGCGUUGGUCUCACUGAAAUCUCACGCAACAUUUCGAACACACAUUUACCUCACAAUCUCAAACUUUGCCCACUUUUAUCACUCACAUCCAACAUGUAACUCCAUAUUUGUUUUCAAAAUCUGAAGAAAAGCAUGACACCACCUCUUUAUACGUUGUAUUUAAAGGCUGUAGCUUAGAGGGAUUUUGUAUUUGUGUAUUUCUUUGGUAGACGUUCAUCUUUGUAUUGCGUUCCAUUGGCAUGAGAUGUAAUCUAGAGCUUCCCGUCUGUCUCUGAAGGGUUAUUUUGCAGGAAGAGAUGCAGUACUGUUUAUUUCUUAAAGCAAAGUUUGUAUUUUUAUACACGCUUGUAAUUUCUACAUGUCCAAUAAAUGUUGUUUGUCACGUUUAA
Molecule: RNA transcript, 5932 nt
Organism: Notolabrus celidotus (New Zealand spotty)
Lineage: Eukaryota; Metazoa; Chordata; Actinopteri; Labriformes; Labridae
Gene name: SIN3-HDAC complex-associated factor-like
Exons: 7
Source: RefSeq, a predicted model, not a curated record